This 2065-nucleotide ribosomal RNA is filed under the name human gut metagenome. RNAcentral's name for it is "bacterial LSU rRNA". It matches the Rfam family "Bacterial large subunit ribosomal RNA", at positions 833 to 2925 of the family's 2925-position model. The record is from RNAcentral.
UCGAACCCGGAGAUAGCUGGUUCUCCUCGAAAUAGCUUUAGGGCUAGCCUCAUACAAGUCUGCCGGAGGUAGAGCACUGAAUUUCCGCGGGGGCGUCAAAGCCUACCAAAGAAUAUCAAACUCCGAAUGCCGGACAGAUGGUGUAUGGGAGUCAGACUGUACGAGAUAAGUUGGACAGUCAAAAGGGAAAGAGCCCAGACCGCCGGCUAAGGUCCCAAAGUGGGUGUUAAGUGGAAAAGGAUGUGGGAUCUCUAAGACAACCAGGAUGUUGGCUCAGAAGCAGCCAUUCAUUAAAAGAGUGCGUAACAGCUCACUGGUCGAGAGGUCCUGCGCCGAAAAUGUCCGGGGCUGAAACACCACACCGAAGCCGCGGAACCCGUAAGGGUUGGUAGAGGAGCAUUCUUAGGGGAGUGAAGCAUUACCGGAAGGGGAUGUGGACCGCUAAGAAGAGAGAAUGCCGGAAUGAGUAGCGAGAGCAAGGUGAGAAUCCUUGCGGCCGAAUAUCCAAGGUUUCCAGAGUAAAGCUGAUCUGCUCUGGGUAAGUCGGGGCCUAAGGAGAGGCAGAGAUGCGUAUCCGAUGGACAGCAGGUUUAAGAUUCCUGCACCCCUUGUUAUCAGAACUGCGGGGACACGGGAAGGGAAGCAGAGCCGGGAAUGGAAAGCCCGGUGCAAGCGAAGUAGUCGCAGGGUUGGAAAAUCCGCCCUGCAUGAGACGAAGGCGUGAUGCGGAGCGAAAUGAAGUAGUGAAGCUGCGGCCCCUUCCUGUCGAGAAAAGCCGCUAUCGUGUAGCAAGGGCCCGUACCGUAAACCGACACAGGUGGAUGAGGAGAGGAUCCUAAGGCCGGCGGGAGAAGUGUUGUUAAGGAACUCGGCAAAAUGACUCCGUAACUUCGGGAGAAGGAGUGCUGCGCAAGCAGCCGCAGAGAAAUGGCCCAAGCAACUGUUUAGCAAAAACACAGGUCUAUGCGAAACCGAAAGGUGAGGUAUAUGGGCUGACGCCUGCCCGGUGCUGGAAGGUUAAGGGGAGAGGUUAGCGCAAGCGAAGCUUUGAACUUAAGCCCCAGUAAACGGCGGCCGUAACUAUAACGGUCCUAAGGUAGCGAAAUUCCUUGUCGGGUAAGUUCCGACCCGCACGAAAGGCGUAAUGAUUUGGGCACUGUCUCAACAACACACCCGGUGAAAUUGAAAUACCAGUGAAGAUGCUGGUUACCCGCGCCAGGACGGAAAGACCCCAUGGAGCUUUACUCCAGCCUGAUACUGGGAUCCGGUAUUGCAUGUACAGGAUAGGUGGGAGGCUAAGAACUCAUGGCGCCAGCCGUGAGGGAGCCGGUGUUGGGAUACCACCCCUGCAGUACUGGGUUUCUAACCUGCGCCCGUGACCCGGGCGGGGGACAAUGUCAGGCGGGGAGUUUGACUGGGGCGGUCGCCUCCGAAAGGGUAUCGGAGGCGCUCAAAGGUCUCCUCAGGAUGGUUGGAAACCAUCCAGAGAGUGCAAAGGCAGAAGGAGGCUUGACUGCGACACCGACGGGUGGAGCAGGUACGAAAGUAGGACUUAGUGAUCCGGUGGUAUAAAGUGGGAUUGCCAUCGCUCAACGGAUAAAAGCUACCCUGGGGAUAACAGGCUUAUCACUCCCAAGAGUUCACAUCGACGGAGUGGUUUGGCACCUCGAUGUCGGCUCAUCGCAUCCUGGAGCUGUAGCAGGUUCCAAGGGUUGGGCUGUUCGCCCAUUAAAGCGGUACGCGAGCUGGGUUCAGAACGUCGUGAGACAGUUCGGUCCCUAUCCGGCGCGGGCGCAGGAUAUCUGAGAGGAGCUGUCCUUAGUACGAGAGGACCGGGAUGGACCGUCCGCUGGUGGACCGGUUGUCAUGCCAAUGGCACGGCCGGGUAGCCAAGACGGGAAGGGAUAAACGCUGAAGGCAUCUAAGCGUGAAGCCCCCCUCAAGAUGAGAUAUCCAGACUCGAAAGAGUGAGAGACCCCUUAGAGACGAUGAGGUAGAUAGGGCAGAGAUGGAAGUGCAGCGAUGCAUGGAGUUGACUGUUACUAAUCGGUCGAUAGCUUGACCU